Molecule: ribosomal RNA, 353 nt
Filed under: uncultured bacterium
Lineage: Bacteria
Description: bacterial SSU rRNA
Rfam family: Bacterial small subunit ribosomal RNA
Source: RNAcentral
AGAGUUUGAUCAUGGCUCAGGAUGAACGCUAGCUACAGGCUUAACACAUGCAAGUCGAGGGGAAACGACAUCGAAAGCUUGCUUUUGAUGGGCGUCGACCGGCGCACGGGUGAGUAACGCGUAUCCAACCUGCCCAUCACUUGGGGGAUAACCUUGCGAAAGUAAGACUAAUACCCAAUGAUAUCUCUAGAAGACAUCUGAAAGAGAUUAAAGAUUUAUCGGUGAUGGAUGGGGAUGCGUCUGAUUAGCUUGUUGGCGGGGUAACGCCACCAAGGCUACGAUCAGUAGGGGUUCUGAGAGGAAGGUCCCCCCANAUUGGAACUGAGACACGGUCCAAAACUCCUACGGGAGCA